RNAcentral lists this ribosomal RNA (587 nucleotides) under uncultured bacterium. Its description in RNAcentral is "partial 16S ribosomal RNA". It matches the Rfam family "Bacterial small subunit ribosomal RNA", at positions 355 to 1375 of the family's 1533-position model. The record is from RNAcentral.
UGGGGAAUUUUGGGCAAUGGGCGAAAGCCCGAUCCAGCAAUGCCGCGUGUGUGAAGAAGGCCUUCGGGUUGUAAAGCACUUUUGUCCGGAAAGAAAUCCUUGGCUCUAAUACAGUCGGGGGGAUGACGGUACCGGAAGAAUAAGCACCGGCUAACUACGUGCCAGCAGCCGCGGUAAUACGUAGGGUGCAAGCGUUAAUCGGAAUUACUGGGCGUAAAGCGUGCGCAGGCGGUUUGCUAAGACCGAUGUGAAAUCCCCGGGCUCAACCUGGGAACUGCAUUGGUGACUGGGCAGGCUAGAGUAUGGCAGAGGGGGGUAGAAUUCCACGUGUAGCAGUGAAAUGCGUAGAGAUGUGGAGGAAUACCGAUGGCGAAGGCAACCCCCUGGGCCAAUACUGACGCUCAUGCACGAAAGCGUGGGGAGCAAACAGGAUUAGAUACCCUGGUAGUCCACGCCCUAAACGAUGUCAACUAGUUGUUGGGGAUUCAUUUCCUUAGUAACGUAGCUAACGUGUGAAGUUGACCGCCUGGGGAGUACGGUCGCAAGAUUAAAACUUAAAUGAAUUGACGGGGUCAUAGCUGUUUCCU